UACGUAGGGUGCAAGCGUUAUCCGGAAUUAUUGGGCGUAAAGAGCUCGUAGGCGGUUUGUCGCGUCUGCUGUGAAAACUGGAGGCUCAACCUCCAGCCUGCAGUGGGUACGGGCAAACUAGAGUGCGGUAGGGGAGAUUGGAAUUCCUGGUGUAGCGGUGGAAUGCGCAGAUAUCAGGAGGAACACCGAUGGCGAAGGCAGAUCUCUGGGCCGUAACUGACGCUGAGGAGCGAAAGCGCGGGGAGCGAACAGG
This 253-nucleotide ribosomal RNA is filed under the name uncultured bacterium. RNAcentral describes it as "partial 16S ribosomal RNA". It matches the Rfam family "Bacterial small subunit ribosomal RNA", at positions 524 to 776 of the family's 1533-position model. The record is from RNAcentral.